AGCCCUUUUAAAUAGGGGUAUGAUUCUCGCUUCGGGUGCGAGAGGUCUCGGGUUCAAAUCCCGGACGAGCCC
Dallia pectoralis (Alaska blackfish) is the source of this 72-nucleotide non-coding RNA. Lineage: Eukaryota; Metazoa; Chordata; Actinopteri; Esociformes; Umbridae. The record is from the annotation of a GenBank genome assembly.